UAAAAUCGAAUAUGUUGGACGAAUAUGUCCAGACACGAAAGUGGACACGUGUUAAUAUGUAAUUGGAUGCGGGAGGGAGAGACAUGGACGGAAUUCCUAACGGCGUGGGGUCUCAAGGUAAGGUCGGAUACACGUUAAUCGUGAGUGUUUCCACUCUCCAAAUUCUGAUUGCGAAGAGUCCACGUUAAGUCUCCGUUAAUCACUGUUGAUUGGAGGAAUUAGGAAUAUGCCGAAGGAGCGAGGAACAUAGCAAGAUUGGGUGUUGGCGAGUGCACCGAAAGUUCGUGUGCGUGUUUAUGACAGGCAAUUUAUUUGUCGGUGGAUUAGAAACGGGAAUUAAAAGAAAAGGAUAUGUAAAUCUUUGAAGUGAAUAUUCGUUUUCCUUUCCAGAAUUUGUCGUGGUUAAUGUUAUUUGGAUAACAAAUAUUAUUAGAAAUCUAUUUGUCUUCUAAAAU
RNAcentral lists this long non-coding RNA (455 nucleotides) under Brassica napus (rape). Its description in RNAcentral is "long non-coding RNA (BNAP_LNC003396)". The record is from RNAcentral. Lineage: Eukaryota; Viridiplantae; Streptophyta; Magnoliopsida; Brassicales; Brassicaceae.